This 295-nucleotide small nuclear RNA is filed under the name Heterocephalus glaber (naked mole-rat). RNAcentral's name for it is "7SK RNA". It matches the Rfam family "7SK RNA". From Rfam's summary of the family: 7SK was discovered as an abundant small nuclear RNA in the mid-70s but a possible function has only recently been suggested. Two independent studies have found that 7SK RNA binds the CDK9/cyclin T complex (known as elongation factor P-TEFb). Lineage: Eukaryota; Metazoa; Chordata; Mammalia; Rodentia; Bathyergidae. The record is from Rfam by way of RNAcentral.
GGAUGUGAGGGCAAUCUGGCUUUUUGUCACCCUUUUUAUCACCAGAGUUGAUUCAGCUGGUCUGGCUGGCUGGGCGGGUGUCCCCUUCCUCCCUCACCACUCCAUGUGUGUCCUUCCCCAAGCUGCAUGCUGGGUCAAAGAGGACACCACCCUGAUAGAGGAGGAUGGUUUCCUCCAUAAAGGAUAUAUAAGUAGCUGCACUCCCCUGCUAGGACCACCAAACAAGCUCUCAAGGAAACUGAGCCAGGAAGAUUGCCAUGAGUUGAGACCCCAUCUUAAAAAAACAAAAGAAUAA